RNAcentral lists this small nuclear RNA (19 nucleotides) under Phaeodactylum tricornutum CCAP 1055/1. Its description in RNAcentral is "snRNA PTsRNA00040a". Lineage: Eukaryota; Bacillariophyta; Bacillariophyceae; Surirellales; Neidiaceae. The record is from RNAcentral.
UCGAUUCCCUCUUUCUCCA